Molecule: long non-coding RNA, 361 nt
Organism: Hordeum vulgare subsp. vulgare (domesticated barley)
Lineage: Eukaryota; Viridiplantae; Streptophyta; Magnoliopsida; Poales; Poaceae
Exons: 2
Source: RefSeq, a predicted model, not a curated record
GAUUUUGUUCUCGGUGAUUGGGCAUAGUGAUUUUGAUGCAUCGCCUUAUCUCAUUCUCACAGAGGAUAUCAAUGGGGUGAAUGCCGGUACUCAACCUAUUGAUGCACAUGGACAUGAUAACUCUCUAGCGUUUAUGGACCAACCAACCUGUAAUCAUGGACCUUAUUGUCUUGUAGACCAUUUGGUGUUUCGAGUGUUUUGGAGCUUGCACUUUGUGCAUGUAGAUACCAACUUGUGUGUUUUGGACCAUCUGAAGUCUCUCAUAGUAACCAAUAGUCCUUAUCUCUUUGUGACUUGUGUGUUCUAGAUGAUUGUUAAGAUGGUAAAAACUAUGCUUCCUCUAGGUUAAUUUGUUUGUCAA